This 350-nucleotide ribosomal RNA is filed under the name uncultured bacterium. RNAcentral describes it as "bacterial SSU rRNA". It matches the Rfam family "Bacterial small subunit ribosomal RNA", at positions 917 to 1267 of the family's 1533-position model. The record is from RNAcentral.
GGGCCCGCACAAGCGGUGGAGCAUGUGGUUUAAUUCGAUGCAACGCGAAGAACCUUACCUACUCUUGACAUCCAGAGAAGCCAGCGGAGACGCAGGUGUGCCUUCGGGAACUCUGAGACAGGUGCUGCAUGGCUGUCGUCAGCUCGUGUUGUGAAAUGUUGGUUAAGUCCCGCAACGAGCGCAACCCUUAUCCUUGUUUGCCAGCGAGUAAUGUCGGGAACUCCAGGGAGACUGCCGGUGAUAAACCGGAGGAAGGUGGGGACGACGUCAAGUCAUCAUGGCCCUUACGGCCUGGGCUACACACGUGCUACAAUGGCUAGGACAGACGGCCGCAAACCCGCGAGGGGGAG